AGUGAACGCUGGCGGUAGGCCUAACACAUGCAAGUCGAACGGCAGCACAGUAAGAGCUUGCUCUUACGGGUGGCGAGUGGCGGACGGGUGAGGAAUACAUCGGAAUCUACUUUUUCGUGGGGGAUAACGUAGGGAAACUUACGCUAAUACCGCAUACGACCUACGGGUGAAGGCAGGGGAUCUUCGGACCUUGCGCGAUUGAAUGAGCCGAUGUCGGAUUAGCUAGUUGGCGGGGUAAAGGCCCACCAAGGCGACGAUCCGUAGCUGGUCUGAGAGGAUGAUCAGCCACACUGGAACUGAGACACGGUCCAGACUCCUACGGGAGGCAGCAGUGGGGAAUAUUGGACAAUGGGCGCAAGCCUGAUCCAGCCAUACCGCGUGGGUGAGGAAGGCCUUCGGGUUGUAAAGCCCUUUUGUUGGGAAAGAAAAGCAGCAGGUUAAUACCCCGCUGUUCUGACGGUACCCAAAGAAUAAGCACCGGCUAACUUCGUG
RNAcentral lists this ribosomal RNA (492 nucleotides) under uncultured bacterium. RNAcentral's name for it is "partial 16S ribosomal RNA". It matches the Rfam family "Bacterial small subunit ribosomal RNA", at positions 29 to 507 of the family's 1533-position model. The record is from RNAcentral.